CCUACGGGAGGCAGCAGUGGGGGAUAUUGCACAAUGGGGGAAACCCUGAUGCAGCAACGCCGCGUGUGGGAAGAAGGUUUUCGGAGUGUAAACCACUGUUCGUGGGGAAGAGAAGGACGGUAAGCAAGGAGAAAGCUCCGGCUAACGAUGUGCCAGCAGCCGCGGUAAUACGUAGGGAGCAAGCGUUGUCCGGAUUUACUGGGUGUAAAGGGGGCGUAGGCGGUCUUGCACGUCAGACGUGCCAACCACAGGCUCAACCUGUGGACUGCGUUUGAAACUGUGGGGCUUGAGUGAAGUCGAGGUAGGCGGAAUUCCCGGUGUAGCGGUGAAAUGCGUA
Molecule: ribosomal RNA, 337 nt
Filed under: uncultured bacterium
Lineage: Bacteria
Description: partial 16S ribosomal RNA
Rfam family: Bacterial small subunit ribosomal RNA
Source: RNAcentral